Molecule: long non-coding RNA, 353 nt
Organism: Cydia splendana
Lineage: Eukaryota; Metazoa; Arthropoda; Insecta; Lepidoptera; Tortricidae
Exons: 3
Source: RefSeq, a predicted model, not a curated record
UUCCUGUGACUUAUAACACGUGAUCGUCCAUACAAAAAGAUAAAACAUUUUUCCACUUCUAAAUAUUUUCCAUUCUCCAUGAUAUUUAGUAUGUUAUUGACACAAUGAAAAACUAGGUUUAUAGAAGUGUUGUAAAUAUGCAAAAGACUACGGACUUGUUAAUGUUUAUUUUUAGACUGAAUUCUAACAAAAAAAUGUUUUAAGUGAAAACCUACCGUUUUAAAAUACAUAAAUACAGUGACAUAAACAAUAAAAACUGGCAAGUGAAUAGAAAUGUGAACAUUGUAAAUAUAAAGUGACCGUUUCUACGUUUAAAAUUACUUGGACUUUGACCGCUGCCAUAGGAUCUUGCU